CAAUAGCGUAUAUUAAAGUUGUUGCAGUUAAAAAGCUCGUAGUUGGAUUUCUGGUAGGAGUGACCGUGCCAGACUUGAUUGUCUGUGUAUUGUGUUGUCUCCAGCCAUCCUUGUGGAGAACUUUUCUUGCAUUAAUUUGUAGGGAUUGGGACCCGCAUCGUUUACUGUGAAAAAAUUAGAGUGUUUAAAGCAGGCAAUCGCUUGAAUACAUUAGCAUGGAAUAAUAAGAUAGGACUUUGGUACUAUUUUGUUGGUUUGCAUACCAAAUUAAUGAUCAACAGGAACAGUUUGAGGAUAUUCGUAUGAACAUGUCAGAGGUGAAAUUCUUGGAUUUUGAUCAGACGAACUACUGCGAAAGCACUUAUCAAGGAUGUUUUCAUUAA
This 383-nucleotide ribosomal RNA is filed under the name uncultured eukaryote. Its description in RNAcentral is "partial 18S ribosomal RNA". It matches the Rfam family "Eukaryotic small subunit ribosomal RNA", at positions 592 to 976 of the family's 1831-position model. The record is from RNAcentral.